GCGGGUGUAGUUUAAUGGCAAAACCUCAGCCUUCCAAGCUGAUGUUGUGGGUUCGAUUCCCGCCGUCUCCACUA
RNAcentral lists this transfer RNA (74 nucleotides) under Staphylococcus pseudintermedius. Its description in RNAcentral is "tRNA-Gly". It matches the Rfam family "tRNA". From Rfam's summary of the family: Transfer RNA (tRNA) molecules are approximately 80 nucleotides in length. Lineage: Bacteria; Bacillati; Bacillota; Bacilli; Caryophanales; Staphylococcaceae. The record is from RNAcentral.